RNAcentral lists this ribosomal RNA (463 nucleotides) under uncultured bacterium. RNAcentral describes it as "partial 16S ribosomal RNA". It matches the Rfam family "Bacterial small subunit ribosomal RNA", at positions 28 to 507 of the family's 1533-position model. The record is from RNAcentral.
GAUGAACGCUGACAGAAUGCUUAACACAUGCAAGUCUUUGGCGAAGCUGUGCUUGCACAGCCUAGCCAAGGCGGACGGGUGAGUAACGCGUAAGGAACUUGCCCUGAAGUCAGGGAUAACAGACGGAAACGACUGAUAAGACCUGGUAAAGUCAGGCGGACUCAUGUCCAGCCUGAUGAAAAGAGAUGCUGCAGGAGAGCCUUGCGUCCUAUUAGCUUGUUGGUGGGGUAACGGCCCACCAAGGCGAUGAUAGGUAGCCGGCCUGAGAGGGUGGACGGCCACAAGGGGACUGAGAUACGGCCCUUACUCCUACGGGAGGCGGCAGUGGGGAAUAUUGGACAAUGGGGGCAACCCUGAUCCAGCAAUUCUGUGUGCACGAUGAAGGUUUUCGGAUUGUAAAGUGCUUUCAGCAGGGAAGAAAAAAAUGACGGUACCUGCAGAAGAAGCGACGGCUAAAUACGUG